GGUUGUGGCUCAGUGGUAGAGCACUUGCCUAGCAUGCAUUAAGCCCUGGGUUUGAUCCCCAGCACCA
Molecule: transfer RNA, 67 nt
Filed under: Marmota monax (woodchuck)
Lineage: Eukaryota; Metazoa; Chordata; Mammalia; Rodentia; Sciuridae
Description: tRNA.Ala
Rfam family: tRNA
About the family: Transfer RNA (tRNA) molecules are approximately 80 nucleotides in length. Their secondary structure includes four short double-helical elements and three loops (D, anti-codon, and T loops).
Source: RNAcentral